Molecule: ribosomal RNA, 446 nt
Filed under: uncultured bacterium
Lineage: Bacteria
Description: partial 16S ribosomal RNA
Rfam family: Bacterial small subunit ribosomal RNA
Source: RNAcentral
GCCAGACUCCUACGGGAGGCAGCAGUGAGGGAUAUUGGUCAAUGGGGGAAACCCUGAACCAGCAACGCCGCGUGAGGGAAGACGGUUUUCGGAUUGUAAACCUCUGUCCUCUGUGAAGAUAAUGACGGUAGCAGAGGAGGAAGCUCCGGCUAACUACGUGCCAGCAGCCGCGGUAAUACGUAGGGGGCAAGCGUUAUCCGGAUUUACUGGGUGUAAAGGGGGCGCAGACGGCGAUGCAAGCCAGGAGUGAAAGCCCGGGGCCCAACCCCGGGACUGCUCUUGGAACUGCGUGGCUAGAGUGCAGGAGGGGCAGGCGGAAUUCCUGGUGUAGCGGUGAAAUGCGUAGAUAUCAGGAGGAACACCGGUGGCGAAGGCGGCCUGCUGGACUGCAACUGACGUUGAGGCCCGAAAGCGUGGGGAGCAAACAGGAUUAGAUACCCUAGUAC